GUCGAACGCUCACCUUCGGGUGGGAGUGGCAGACGGGUGAGUAACACGUGGGAACGUACCCUUUGGUUCGGGACAACUCUGGGAAACUGGAGCUAAUACCGGAUACGCCCUUUUGGGGAAAGGUUUACUGCCGAAGGAUCGGCCCGCGUCUGAUUAGCUAGUUGGUGGGGUAACGGCCUACCAAGGCGACGAUCAGUAGCUGGUCUGAGAGGAUGAUCAGCCACACUGGGACUGAGACACGGCCCAGACUCCUACGGGAGGCAGCAGUGGGGAAUAUUGGACAAUGGGCGCAAGCCUGAUCCAGCCAUGCCGCGUGAGUGAUGAAGGCCUUAGGGUUGUAAAGCUCUUUUAUCCGGGACGAUAAUGACGGUACCGGAGGAAUAAGCCCCGGCUAACUUCGUGCCAGCAGCCGCGGUAAUACGAAGGGGGCUAGCGUUGCUCGGAAUCACUGGGCGUAAAGGGCGCGUAGGCGGCGUUUUAAGUCGGGGGUGAAAGCCUGUGGCUCAACCACAGAAUGGCCUUCGAUACUGGGACGCUUGAGUCUGGUAGAGGUUGGUGGAACUGCGAGUGUAGAGGUGAAAUUCGUAGAUAUUCGCAAGAACACCGGUGGCGAAGGCGGCCAACUGGACCGGCACUGACGCUGAGGCG
RNAcentral lists this ribosomal RNA (648 nucleotides) under uncultured bacterium. Its description in RNAcentral is "bacterial SSU rRNA". It matches the Rfam family "Bacterial small subunit ribosomal RNA", at positions 61 to 753 of the family's 1533-position model. The record is from RNAcentral.